This 63-nucleotide small nuclear RNA is filed under the name Rhinopithecus bieti (black snub-nosed monkey). RNAcentral's name for it is "U7 small nuclear RNA (ENSRBIG00000005952.1)". It matches the Rfam family "U7 small nuclear RNA". Rfam says of the family: Animal histone pre-mRNAs are spliced by a different mechanism than nuclear pre-mRNAs and self-splicing introns. The record is from Rfam by way of RNAcentral. Lineage: Eukaryota; Metazoa; Chordata; Mammalia; Primates; Cercopithecidae.
CAGUGUUACAGCUCUUUUAGAAUUUGUACAGCAGGUUUUCUGGUUUCUACCAGAAAAACCCCC